GCUAACGUAGCUUAAUUCAUUAAAGCAAAGCGCUGAAAAUGCUUAGAUGGCCUUCCAGGCCCAUUAGCA
Molecule: transfer RNA, 69 nt
Filed under: Scarturus williamsi (William's jerboa)
Lineage: Eukaryota; Metazoa; Chordata; Mammalia; Rodentia; Dipodidae
Description: tRNA-Phe
Rfam family: tRNA
About the family: Transfer RNA (tRNA) molecules are approximately 80 nucleotides in length. Their secondary structure includes four short double-helical elements and three loops (D, anti-codon, and T loops).
Source: RNAcentral